Molecule: RNA transcript, 2683 nt
Organism: Protopterus annectens (West African lungfish)
Lineage: Eukaryota; Metazoa; Chordata; Ceratodontiformes; Protopteridae
Gene: PLPPR1
Gene name: phospholipid phosphatase related 1
Exons: 11
Source: RefSeq, a predicted model, not a curated record
CCUCCCCGCCCCCUAUCCCUGGUAUUAGAGAUACACAAGACAAUUUCAAACGCUGAUAUGUGCGAAGGGUACAGGAAUCAAACAAAAGCCCGGAACCCCUAAUUGUGGUGGCAAGAAUCGUUUACAAAAAUAUGUUUUCACAGUGGAUUUUUUUCUGCUACAAAUCUUAAUGAUUACGCAUGUCCUAACUGAAAAAAAGAGCAACGAAAUCAAAUUCCCUGGCAAAGUUUAACCCAUGCCGGCCUGCCUUGCCUGCCACAUGAUCGUCUCUGUCACAACAUCAGUAGAUCCAUGACUGAGACUUCAAAAAGCGAGAAGCAAGCAACUAAAGGGGAUUUGUUGGAAAAUCACUAAUACUUCAUUUUGAUCAAUAUAAAGAGGAGUUCCAAUUGCUCUGCAAGGUUGUCUGGCUUAAACAUGUGCACUGCCUUUACCAACACGGAGCUGCAGGGAUUAGAUCACUGAGCCAAGAAGCUAAAACGGAAAACUUUUAUCAGUUUCCCUGUAUGAUGUACAAAUCUAUAAAGAGACACGUUGAAUAAUGGCUUUGGAAAACAGCACUACUCAUCGGAGUUACUCUAUUAUCCCCUGUUUCAUAUUUGUGGAGCUUGUCAUCAUGGCUGGGACUGUCCUUCUUGCCUACUACUUUGAGUGCACAGACACCUUCCAGGUGCAUGUCCAGGGUUUUUUCUGCCAGGAUGGAGAACUGAUGAAGCCAUACCCAGGUCCAGAAGAGGACAGCUUUAUUACACCAUUGGUACUGUACUGUGUGUUGGCAGCAACUCCGACAGCUAUAAUUUUUAUUGGUGAGAUAUCCAUGUAUUUUAUAAAAUCAACCAGAGAAAAUCUUAUUAUCCACGAGAAGACAAUAGUAACAGGAGAGUGCUGUUAUCUAAAUCCACUGCUACGCAGAAUUAUAAGGUUUAUAGGUGUGUUUGCAUUUGGACUCUUUGCUACAGAUAUAUUUGUAAAUGCUGGCCAGGUGGUAACAGGAAACUUGGCCCCUUUCUUUCUGACUGUAUGCAAACCAAACUUUACUGGAGCUGAGUGUCGUGGUCAUCACCACUUUGUAAAUAAUGGAAAUAUCUGCACAGGUGAUCCAGAGGUGAUUGAAAAGGCUAGAAGAUCAUUCCCCUCCAAAGAUGCUGCUUUAAGUAUUUACUCAGCACUGUAUGCUACAAUGUACAUCACAAGCACAAUAAAAACCAAAAGCAGUCGACUAGCAAAACCAGUGCUAUGUCUUGGGACGAUCUGUGCAGCAUUCCUAACAGGGCUAAACCGUGUCUCAGAAUAUCGAAAUCACUGUUCUGAUGUGAUUGCUGGCUUUAUCUUAGGCAGUGCUGUUGCGUUGUUUUUGGGAGUGUGUGUUGUUCACAACUUUAAAGGGAUAAACAGCACACCUGCCAAACCAAAGCCUGAAGAUCCACGAAGCAUGCCAUUGAUGGCAUUUCCCAGUGUAGAGAGCCCUCUUGAGACAUUAAGUGCACAGAUGCCUUUUAAAAAUCACGGUGUUCAGUGCACUAGUGAAGUGUGCCACGUGUAGCUGAUAAAUGAAGACUUGUCACAGAACAUGAGGGUUUGAUGGAAGCUCUGGUUCUUAACUGCUAACAUCAUUAGUACGCUGGUUGCAGGGCUUUUUUCUAAGUCAUCUAAAACAUGUAAAUAUUUAUUCAACUAAGCAACUGACAGAGCUGCUGUGGGUGGAAUCACUCGACUUCAGUGACUGAAGUGACUUGAAUCAGCUGCUCUGCGGUACCAUUCUCCCCUUAUGCUUCAAUACUCCAAGACACUGUUGUUUUAUACUCUGUAUAAGUGUUUGACAGAAGACCAGUAUUAUAUUAUAUCUAGUUUUAGGCUGAUGUUUUGUACAUUUUUUGUAUGACAAUGUGGUGUAGUUUGACUUGAUCUUUGUCAGCUUUAAUAUAUUUAUGCCAGGAAAAGUAUCUAAUUCAUUAUGAAUUUUAUUCAAGAUUAAGACCUAUUUGAAUAUUGUUGUUGUUAUGUGAUAUUUGUACAAAAAUUUUUUCUGGUGUAAUAUGAAUUAAGAGAAUGUAUAUUCCUCAACAUCACUUUGACCGUUUGUUACUUUAGGAUAGUUUUGUCAGGAAAUAAUUAUUUUAGGAUUGUGCUGACUGCUAAAGAUGUGAAAUAUAUUAAUAUUACAAGUUUAAUAAGCUAAACUGACUUUUAAUGUCAUUGUUGACUGCAAAGGCUGUUUUCUAUUAUUGGAAAGCAAAUGUGCAGUGGUAAACAGCACAUAAAAACCCAACAAAAUGUGAAAUAGAUUGACUGCUGAAAUUAAAUAUUUACCAAGUUUAGGUUAGCAAACGGACUGCAAUAUCACUGCCUAAGCUGGAGAUAAGCAUUUACUAUGUGUGCACAAAUACUUUUGUACAUCAUGUUGUUUGGUUUUGGAUUUAGAACAAAUGUUUACAAUUUGUAUAUUAUUGCAAUGAAAAAUAGAGCAACAGUGCCAUUUACUGUAAAAUCAUAUUCUCAACUUUAAUACUUUUUCUUAGUUUUAGCAGGGUUUUAACCCAUCUGUCUGAAGAAAACAGAGACUUUUUGUCUAUAUUUGUUGAUAUUUUCCUGCUUUGUGAGCCUCGUUUUUGUUCUUCACUCAGUUUUUGUACAUUUAAGACUUUUUAAAACUUGUCACAUAAAUUAAAUUGUAAACCACUAA